CCCCCCUCCCCCCUAUAAAUUACUGCAAACAGCAUCACCGCCUCCACUUGUACAGCUGAAGACAGCAGAAAGCUUCCUCCACCUGAGCAGCUUGUUGGAGACGAGCAGCUUGUUGGAAACAGCAGUGAAGAUGAAUCUCCUGCCCUGGAUGAUGCUGGUGUUCCUGCUCUCAGCUGGGACCAAUUUGGCUGAUGUGGACGUGAACUGGCUGGCUGGGAUUGUAGAGGCCAUCACAACGCACGUCAGGAGUCAUUUUACAAAAUUCCUUCAUGAGAAUUACGACAACAGUAAAGAGCCUUGAACUUUACUCCAGCCUCUGACUUUCUCUUGAAGCCUGUUAGCCAUCUGUCAGUGUGUACAGUCCCUCACACUGAGGACAGAAUAAAAACAUAAAGAGUA
This is a long non-coding RNA of Micropterus salmoides (largemouth bass), 399 nucleotides long. RefSeq lists it as uncharacterized. Lineage: Eukaryota; Metazoa; Chordata; Actinopteri; Centrarchiformes; Centrarchidae. The record is from RefSeq and is a predicted model, not a curated record. The transcript is spliced from 4 exons.